GGCAUGUGCAUGAUGAUGAUGGUUAAAAAAGUAUAUUGUAACGAGUUGAAACCUUGAACAGUUUGAAUAAAACAAUAAACAUAACAGAUUACACCAAGCAAAACCACACCCUUCGAAAGUGGAUACGUCAUGUUUUUGAAUGACGUCAUCACCGUCCGAAGUAUUCUUCCUCAACGGAAUCAUUCAAUAUUCCAUCGAUUAGUCGCAACGUCUGCGGUCGUCAGCAACAGCUCAGGAUAUCGGAGAAUUGGAUUGAAUUUUGGUCCGAUUAAAGCCUUGAACCAGUAUUGGUCAUCGGUGUUUCAGAGACCACAUGUAUGUAGAUAUCAUGAUUGUAAAGGUAGAGCGAGAGAGAGAAAGAAAGAGUAGGUAGUGCAGCCCGAGCCCGAACCGACUGUUCGGCUGGUUACAGCCAAGUACCUGUGCACCACAUGGAUAACGAUAUUCACGCCUGAAAGGUCAAAGGUUCCGCCGAUCGCAGCCUUUCGCUUCUCCUCCACCCACGAUUUGGAACGUUAACAGUAGACAUCCAGCAAAAUCAGCUGCAGCAGGUACGUACGUAUACCAACGCAGGUCUCUGUCAGCCAUUAUAAACACGGUGUAUCCAUCGUCGUAAUUUAUGAACGCGUCCAAGUGUGGCACACGCCUUUACCCGACGUAUCUGCCUCUAUGCAUGCGUACCGUACGUGUGGCUAGGUACUAUAGUCGAUGGUGGUGGAUGGAGGGACGCGUGGGAGUUCGAGGCCACGAGACGCGAUCAUCGCGAGAAGCUUUACGGACACCCUCAUGCCGCAUGUCUGACGUAACUGAUGGACCCUCUGGACGAGUUCGUUUCCAAUAUUUUUUUUUUGGAACGAGAGAGAAGAGAGCAGACUUUAGUUUUUGUCGAUAGAAUAAUUGAUGAAGUUGUACUGUUACAUACGCUGAUUAAUCUCGAACAAAUAUUGCGAUUUUGAAUCAAUCAGAUCCAUACGGUAAAAUCAUUCCGUAAAAAUUGUAGAUUGGUUUCUCGACUAUCCUGAUAAAAGAAAUGAUAGUUUCGAAA
This is a long non-coding RNA of Neodiprion fabricii, 1045 nucleotides long. RefSeq lists it as uncharacterized. The transcript has 3 exons. The record is from RefSeq and is a predicted model, not a curated record. NCBI's taxonomy places the organism in Eukaryota, Metazoa, Arthropoda, Insecta, Hymenoptera, Diprionidae.